UACGGAGGGAGCUAGCGUUGUUCGGAAUUACUGGGUGUAAAGCGCGCGUAGGCGGCUUUGUAAGUUAGAGGUGAAAGCCCGGGGCUCAACCCCGGAACAGCCUUUAAGACUGCAUCGCUAGAAUCCGGGAGAGGUGAGUGGAAUUCCGAGUGUAGAGGUGAAAUUCGUAGAUAUUCGGAAGAACACCAGUGGCGAAGGCGGCUCACUGGACCGGCAUUGACGCUGAGGUGCGAAAGCGUGGGGAGCAAACAGG
This 253-nucleotide ribosomal RNA is filed under the name uncultured bacterium. RNAcentral describes it as "partial 16S ribosomal RNA". It matches the Rfam family "Bacterial small subunit ribosomal RNA", at positions 524 to 776 of the family's 1533-position model. The record is from RNAcentral.